This 65-nucleotide transfer RNA is filed under the name Scolytinae sp. BMNH 1274277. Its description in RNAcentral is "tRNA-Val". Lineage: Eukaryota; Metazoa; Arthropoda; Insecta; Coleoptera; Curculionidae. The record is from RNAcentral.
CAAAUUAAAGCUUUGGAGAAGCGUUUUAUUUACAUUAAAGAGAUUAUUUAAUAGGUAUAGUUUGA